Molecule: non-coding RNA, 45 nt
Organism: Schistosoma mansoni
Lineage: Eukaryota; Metazoa; Platyhelminthes; Trematoda; Strigeidida; Schistosomatidae
Source: Rfam
AUCCAGCUGAUGAGUUUCAAAUAGGACGAAAUGCACUUGCUGGAU